CAGUCCCCUCCGCCCGCUCCCCUUACGCCGGCUCAGCACCCAUCCUUUCCUAACCCCGAACUGCCCGGCGCCCCGGACUCUCGGCGCCUGCGCCGCGCCCGAGGACCACCCCCACCCCGCUACCCGGGGUCCAUCCAUCCUCGGCCCUUCGAGGCUGGGAAAGGGAGCGGACGGUGCACAAAGGUCACCCCGAGCUAACGGAGGCGACCGGCGCGGGAAACGCGCUCACCCGCAGGGUGGGGGCGGGGUGCGAAAACCGAAGGAACGACGAAGGCGCGGACCGGAGCCGGGAGCCUCCCUGCCACCAGGGUCCCGCACCUCCCAGCCCCGCUAGGCGCGCAGGGCUGCGGCUCCCAGUGGCUCCACCGUCUGCGCUCUCCGGCAAGGUCCUCUCGGGCGCCUCGGAACUGCGCGCCCCUAGCCGCCAGCAUGGUGGGAGCCGCGCCUCCGGCAGCGCCCGGUCCCCGGCCCCUACCUCCAAGAGCAGCCCGAGCAGCAGCGCCGCCACCUUCGCAGGCUGUCGCCUCAUGGCUCCUCGCGUCCUCUCCGGCGCGCCCGGACGCCAGGUCGCAGGCGCGGUUCGCGACUCGGCCCCCGCGCGGAGCGCGCGGGCGGGCGGACUCGAGCCGGGAGCCGGCAAGAGCUGGGGGGCCCGGCGGGGAGCGGGCGGGAGCCCGGAACGCCGCGCAGCCCUCGCCGCGCUCCGCCCCCGGCCGCCGCGCGCUCCCGACACGCCCGACCGGGCGCGCGCCCGCGGGCUCCCGGAACCCGAGGGCUGGCCUGGGGCGCGGCUGCGGGGCGCGAGGCCCGCGACGCUGAAGUGCGCGCGCCCGGGGAGGGAGGAGGCGCUGCACCGCCCGGUGAAUGGGAGGAGGACUACCAGGCUCUCCCUCCUCGAGGGAGGUCGUCCUGUCGCCCUUGACUACACCCAGGAAGGCUUUUAAAAGAAGCAGAGUCUACGCGAGGGGAAGCUUGUUCCCUGAAAGGUGGCCGCAGACGAACCCACUGUUUAGUCUGGCAUCCCGAAGCCGCUGCGCUCCUGGCUCUCCCCCUGUUCCUGCGCGCCGCGGGGGCAGUGCCUCCACACCCACGCGUGAUGGGAAGGUCGGCCUGGGGGUGGGAAGGCCCACCGAAAUAGAUGGUCCCCACACCUCACUGCUCCCUUGGAUGUGGCUAUUUUUUAUGCCAGUGUCCUGUGCUGACCCUACAUGAACUUGAUCGCAACCGGCCCCGCCUUGCAGGCCACCCUCCGGCAGCAGAGAACUGUGCGGAGCUCGCGCUGUCCUUGCCUCUGCUGACCCCACCUCCAUGUCCUCGCAGACACUAUUUUCACAACACAGCUCAGAUCCCACCUCAUUCAUGAGGUUAUUCAACGAACACUGUUGAACUUGUGAGAUGUACCAGAUCUGAGCUGCAGGUCGAGAGGAGGACAAGAAAACUGCUCCCGUAGCCUAGAGGGAGGGAGAGUCGCUUAAACCACCUGAUGCAGAAUGCUGAGUGCGGAGACCAGGAGGGUCCAUCUGAACCUCAGGGUCCUCUAGGAUACCCAGGACCUCGAGGGUCAAGGGAGCAUCAGGUUUUGAUGGCCUCCAUGAUCCCCCAGAGAAAGGGUGUGGCUUGAGUGUCUUCCUCUGUGCUCCCCAGGGAGCAGCAGCAUCAGAGUGCUCCCAGGGUGCCAAAGGGACACACUGGACCAACUGGAGACCCUGGGCCCUCUGGACUCACAGGCAAGGAGAUGACAAGAGAGGGAUCUGUGCCUGGGCACUCUAGGGAUGAAGGCACAUGGGGUCAGGGUGGGCAUGGGGGUGCCUGCAGCCAGUCAAUUAAAGAUGGCUAUGUAUUCAUUAUGCUCCUUUCUCUGUAUACGGCACCUCCUGGCUGCCGAUGGAUUGAGGCGGGUAUAGAAGUCAAGGAAAAGCCACUGUCGUGAAGACGUGGAUGGAGACAGGCACAGAGUGGCUACAGGUCCAAGCAGAGUGAACAUGCGUCCAAACUGAGCAGCGGCAGCCCCUAGAAGGGAGACACCAACAGCAGCGAGACCUGUGGUCUCCAGAGCUGACUUCUCCUGCACUUGCCACAUGCAGGCACUGUGCGGGACCUCCUCUCCAUCCUGUGAGGUGGGUGUAGCUGGUCUUAUUUUGCAGGUGAGGCUUUGCAGAUGCACAAGCAGGCCAAGUCAUCAGAGGGUCAUCAAAUGACAGGGCAGGGGCUGAGCCACAUUGGUUGGGCUGCAGAAUCACUGCUCCCAACCUCCUGCCCCACAGCUGCCUGUGCAGGAUGAGCCCUGGAGCAGCAGGAGGAAGGGGUACGCAGGGUCUCCCUGAAUCUCAGGGUCUCAAUGGAUUUUCUGACCCCAAAGGGCCCCUGGGUGACCAUGGGAUUCAAGGGAAGGUUGUUCCUGGUCUGAGGAGCUUCCCAGGAGAGAAAGGCCUCUAGGCCCUGCUGUGAGUGUGACUCCUAGAGCCCUGCUUGGACCAAGCAUCAAGCGACCUGACCCCUUCCCGGACCUUGACCCUGCUCCUUGCCACUCCCCACUCCCCACUCCCAUCUCUCCUAUCUCCUCUCACCAGCCCUCACCCUUCUCUUUUCUGUAAAGCUCCACCUUCCCCAAAUCUCUGCUUCAGAGCGUGGACCCAGCUUGAAGGGAAAUGAGGUCCAGCUGAUCCCCUUACCCUGCAGGGAGCCUGGUGUUCCUGGGGAGUGGGAGGAAGGAACCAGGAAAGGGGGUGUUGAGGCAGGGUGGAGGUGGCAUCCAGAUCUAGGCAGGUGCUGUGGGACUGGGCAGAGGGAAUCUAGAGUCAGCCAGAAUGCAGCUGAUUUGAGGCUUUUCUCCUGGGAAUUGUGCUCUGAGGGUCCCUGUAUGAGUGGGCUUGGGUCUCCCUUCCUGGGGGUCUGACUCAUCUCAGCUCUCAGGGUUUCCCCCUAGGGACUGAGCUGCAGCAGGAUCAAGGGACCCAUUGUCCCCCACCAGGGUGCUCCGGCCCUCAGGAACCCCUUGGAUCAACAGAAGAGACAGGUGUCCCAGGUGAAAAGGGCCCCAUUUGUCUGCCUGGCUGUGAUAGGGUGCAGAGUCGUGUGUGAUUUCCCGGUCCUGCUGGGCCUCCAGGUGUGGCUGGAGAAGACGGAGACCAAAAGAAGAACCCCAGAGAACCCAGCCAAUCUUCUCUCCACAUGAGAGGGGCGAGGGCUCUCCUGGACCCCCUCGACUCAUUGGUCUGUGGAACAGCCUGGAGCAGUGGGAGCAGACUGGGAGCCCGGAGCUCAGGGACCCCAGGGACACUUUGGAGCCAGAGUGUGGGGAACCAAAGGCAAUAAAGGAACAAGAGGAUUCACAGACCUACAGCUCUGGUGUAUCUGUUCCCUCCGCAAGGACUACCUGGACCCAGUGGCACUGAUGGUCCCCUGACAGGUAUUGGGGACCUGGGUCCUCCUGGAGAGAAGACAAAAGAGAAUAAAACGUGGAGAAUACCAGGAUUUUGUGAGGGGGAAAUGAAGUUUUUGACCCCAAUCUCUUUGCUGCUGGAGCCAGGAGAGAGAGGAUCUCCAGGAAUCCAGGGUGAGCCAGGUGUCAGCGGGACACAGAGAAGCUCUGCUCAUGGCCGCCUCCUACCACUCCGACCACUCUACAGUCUUGGUGGCCACGACUAACCACAGGGAGCCUGGCCAGGCGCCGCAAGUUGCAGCCUCCACCCACUCCUCUAAGUCAGGCAUGGAGCAGCAGUGAAGCAGUGGCAGAAGAGGCUGGAAUGGCAGAACACACCCUCAACGUGCAUUAUAUAUAGAGGUUACAGAAAUGAGGUCCUGGACUUUGUGUUCUGAUUGGAUGGGGGAAAACCUCUAGGCCUACUCUGAUUGGACUUUAUCUUCAUAUCCUGAUUGGUUAUCCUAAGAGUUGCUCUCAUCCAAUCUUCUUUAUAAGUCAUCUUUGUAAGUUCAUGCCCAUUGGGAGUUAGUGAAGUAGUGAAUGAUUACAUUUAAACUUAUCCUGUAAUUUUAGUCUGACUUAUUAAUUCCACCUAUCUGCAUAAGCAAAUUAUUCUCUAUAAUGAUGACCCAAGCAAAUUCCUGUCCCAAGGUGGUAUCAAGAUGAUACCCCAAGUUCCUCUCCAGAAUGGUAUGUGGAUAUAUGUGGAGAGAAAUAUUUUUUCUAGGCCUGUAUUAAAUAUGGCACUAAAGCUUAGUGGCUUAAAACAAUACACUCUUAUUAUCUCACAGCUUCUGUGAAUAAGUAGUUCAGGAGAAUGUAGUUGGGUGAUUCUUCCAAGAGUCUCAAAAGGUUGCAGUCAAUCUGUUGGUGAGAAUUGUAGUUACUUGAAGACUUGGCUGGAGUUAAAGAAUUUAUAUCAAAGAUGGCUUACUCACGGCCAUUGGAUGGAAGCCUCAGUUUCAGAAUGGCUCUUGGAAAUAGGUCUUUUUACUUGCCACGUAGACCUCUCCAUAGGGUGACUGAAUGUCCUCCAAUGUAUCAUCUGGCUUUCUCCAGUGCAAAAGAUCCAAGAAGAGAGUAUGAAGGAACACGUAAUGCUCUUUAUAAUUUUGUCACAGACCGUCACUUUUGCCAUACUGUAUUGUUUGGAAGUUAGUCACUAAGUCUAGCCCACACUCAAAAGAAUGAGAAUUAACCUCCACCUUUGGAAGAGAGGCUAGUCAAAGCACUUGUGGACAUGUUUUGAAACCACAAACGGGUAUGUCUGCCAGUCUCCAAGAUGGCCCCCAGUGAUUCUCAUCAACUAUUAUUAAUACUUUUGUAUAGUCCCUUCCCACAAGAAAAAAGGGUUGAUCUGUUUAAUUAGUAUGGUUUUGUCAAAAUGACAGAGUCUGACUUCCAAGUGUAGGUCAUAAGAAGAAUUUUGACUUCUGCCUUGUUCUCUGUUGGAUCAAUAUCCCUAGGGGAAGCUAGAUGCAAUGUCAUGAAACCAUUCAAACAGUCCCAUGGAACAAUCCAUCUAGCAAGGAACUGAUGUCUCCUAGCAAUAACUGGCAUUAACUUAUAGGCCAUAUGAGUGGGUCAUCUUAGAGUUGGAUUCUUCAGUCCAAAUCAAGUCUUCAGAUAACUGUAGCCCUGGCUGACAUCUUGAUUACAUCCUCAAGAGAGACCCUGAGCCACAAUCACUCAGUUAAGCCACCGAGUUCUUUUUGCCAAGAACUUUUUUUUUACCAAGUUCUUUUUGCCACCAACUUUAUUGAGGUAUAAUUGACAAUUACAAUUGUAUAUAUUUAAGGACUACAACUUGAUGAUUUGAUAUACACAUACAUUGUGAAAUAAUCGUGACAAUUAGGUUAACAUAUUCAUUACUUCACAUAAUUACCAUUUGCGUGUGUGUGUGUGUGUGUGUGUGUGUGUGUGUCUGUAGUGAGAACACUUAAGAUCUAUCCUCCUAGCAAAUUUCAAGUGUACAAUAUACUGUUGUUACCUACGGUCAUAGUAUUGUAUACUAUGUCUCCAGAAGUUAUUCACCUUGUGUAACUGAGAUGCUGUACCCUUGACCAAUGUCUCCCCAUUUUCUUCUCCCUCCAGCCCCUGGUAACUACCCUUCUACUUUCCAGUUCUAUAAAUUUAGAUUCCAUAUAUAAGUCAAAUUUUUGACCCUUGGAAGCUGGAUGAGAUAAUAAAUAUUUAUUGUUAUUUUCAGCCUC
Long non-coding RNA from Piliocolobus tephrosceles (Ugandan red Colobus), 5637 nucleotides. RefSeq lists it as uncharacterized. NCBI's taxonomy places the organism in Eukaryota, Metazoa, Chordata, Mammalia, Primates, Cercopithecidae. The transcript has 12 exons. The record is from RefSeq and is a predicted model, not a curated record.